GGUUAGCCAAAACGUUCGUUCGGGUUUUUCUGUAAGAUCUUAUGGAAAAACCCAAAAGAACUUUCUGGCCAACC
This 74-nucleotide microRNA precursor is filed under the name Tursiops truncatus (common bottlenose dolphin). RNAcentral describes it as "miRNA (ENSTTRG00000024659.1)". Lineage: Eukaryota; Metazoa; Chordata; Mammalia; Artiodactyla; Delphinidae. The record is from RNAcentral.